RNAcentral lists this ribosomal RNA (699 nucleotides) under uncultured bacterium. Its description in RNAcentral is "bacterial SSU rRNA". It matches the Rfam family "Bacterial small subunit ribosomal RNA", at positions 8 to 689 of the family's 1533-position model. The record is from RNAcentral.
AGAGUUUGAUCCUGGCUCAGAGCGAACGCUGGCGGUAUGCUUAACACCUGCCAGUCCAGCGAGAAAAUGGCUUCCGCCAUGAGUACCGCAGCGGACGGGUGAGUAAUACAUGGAUAAUCUGCCUUUAGGACUGGGACAACCCUGGGAAACUAGGGCUAAUACCGGAUAAGACCACAGAAUCUGCGGAUUCAGUGGUAAAAGGUGGCUUUCGGGCUAUCACCUAGAGAUGAGUCCAUGUCCCAUCAGGUUGUUGGUGAGGUAACGGCCCCCCAAGCCUAAGACGGGUAGCCGGCCUUAGCGGGUGAUCGGCCACACGGGGACUGAGACACGGCCCCGACUCCUACGGGAGGCAGCAGUGGGGAAUAUUGGACAAUGGGCGCAAGCCUGAUCCAGCAAUACCGCGUGAGGGAUGAAGGCCCUAGGGUCGUAAACCUCUGUCAGUUGGAACGAUGGGUUUGUAGGUUAAUACCCUGCAAACUUGACGGUACCUUCAAAGGAAGCCCCGGCUAACUCCGUGCCAGCAGCCGCGGUAAUACGGAGGGGGCAAGCGUUGCUCGGAAUUACUGGGCGUAAAGGGUCCGCAGGUGGCUUUGUAAGUUAGAUGUGAAAUCUCAGGGCUCAACCCUGAAACUGCAUCUAAUACUGCAGAGCUUGAGUACAGGAGAGGUUGGCGGAAUUCCCGGUGUAGCGGUGAAAUGC